Molecule: ribosomal RNA, 300 nt
Filed under: uncultured bacterium
Lineage: Bacteria
Description: bacterial SSU rRNA
Rfam family: Bacterial small subunit ribosomal RNA
Source: RNAcentral
CUAAGCCUACGGGGCGCAGCAGUAGGGAAUCUUCCACAAUGGACGAAAGUCUGAUGGAGCAACGCCGCGUGAGUGAAGAAGGGUUUCGGCUCGUAAAGCUCUGUUGGUAGUGAAGAAAGAUAGAGGGAGUAACUGGCCUUUAUUUGACGGUAAUUACUUAGAAAGUCACGGCUAACUACGUGCCAGCAGCCGCGGUAAUACGGAGGUGGCAAGCGUUGUCCGGAUUUAUUGGGCGUAAAGCGAGUGCAGGCGGUUUAAUAAGUCUGAUGUGAAAGCCUUCGGCUCAACCGGAGAAUUGCA